CUGACUGCAGGAGUGGAGCUCUGGCAGCAGAAAUCCGCUCGCAGAGGAUUCCUUCCAAUUUUACGCGCAACUUUUCCUCGCCGGCUUCUUCUCUGCGGCGUUUCCAGCGCUCCCCCCUCGAUUGUUGUGGAUUUCUAACAACCACCCCCUGGCUGUUUGUAGCGGAGCGACGAGCGAAGCUCGCCCGGAAUCGGAUCUGCUGUCACCGGGCUGCUUGUUGUCAUUUUCGCACGGAGACGCGCAGCCGGAGCGCAGACAGAAGGGGCAAUUUGUGGACUUGAUAAACGGACCAGAAAGCAAACGGUUGCACCAGUCUUCACUUCAUCUCCGUCGCCAGUUUGGACAGGCGGUUGCCAGCACUGCACAGGCUGACCUCAGGCUGUUAAAGGUUUCCAGUUGAGCUUGUGGCGGGCAGAAAUGUCAGAGCUGUGGAUUCCAGCGGCGGGCAGAGAGGCUGCUACAGUAUGUGGCGGGAGACUGCGAUGCUGAUGGCCACAUAAGGACACUUUCUGUCGGGACUCCCAUUGAAACCAGUCUGACAGAGCGCAGACCGAAAGGUAAGCCGUGCCGGCAUCUCAUCCUGAUUUCAUGACGGCCUUUUAGACGUUCCAAGGUUUUUUUUCUGGACAGUGGACUGUGCGGU
Astatotilapia calliptera (eastern happy) is the source of this 643-nucleotide long non-coding RNA. The record is from Ensembl. NCBI's taxonomy places the organism in Eukaryota, Metazoa, Chordata, Actinopteri, Cichliformes, Cichlidae.